CAACGUCUGACAGCAGCAGACGCCGCGUGAGGGAUUGUAGCCUUUCGGGUUGUGAACCUCUUUCGUCUCAUGAUCAAGCCUACACGUGUGCGUGUGGUGAGGGUAGUGGGUAAAGAAGCGCCGGGUAUCUACGUGCCAGCACCCGCGGUAAUACGUAGGGCGCGAGCGUUGUCCGGAAUUAUUGGGCGUAAAGGGCGUGUAGGCGGUUGGUUGCGUCUGCCGUGAAAUCCUCUGGCUUAACUGGGGGCGCACGGUGGGUACGGGCUGGCUUGAGUGCGGUAGGGGAGACUGGAAUUCCUGGUGUAGCGGUGGAAUGCGCAGAUAUCAGGAGGAACACCGGUGGCGAAGGCGGGUCUCUGGGCCGUUACUGACGCUGAGGAGCGAAAGCGUGGGGAGCGAACAGGAUUAGAUACCCUGGUAGUUCAUGCUGUAAACGUUGGGCAAUAGGUGUGGGGGCCACCCGUGGUUUCUGCGCCGUAGCUAACGCUUUAAGUGCCCCGCCUGGGGAGUACGGCCGCAAGGGUAAAACUCAAAGGAAUUGACGGGGGCCCGCACAAGCGGCGGAGCAUGCGGAUUAAUUCGAUGCAACGCGAAGAACCUUACCAAGGCUUGACAUGCACCCAGAGCCUCCAGAGAUGGGGGUGCAUUUGGUUGGGGGUGUGCAGGUGGUGCAUGGUUGUCGUCAGUUCGUGUCGUGAGAUGUUGGGUUAAGUCCCGCAACGAGCGCAACCCUUGCCCUAUGUUGCCAGCACGUUGUGGUGGGGAUUCGUGGGGGACUGCCGGGGUUAACUCGGAGGAAG
RNAcentral lists this ribosomal RNA (800 nucleotides) under Schaalia hyovaginalis. RNAcentral describes it as "bacterial SSU rRNA". It matches the Rfam family "Bacterial small subunit ribosomal RNA", at positions 377 to 1172 of the family's 1533-position model. The record is from RNAcentral. Lineage: Bacteria; Bacillati; Actinomycetota; Actinomycetes; Actinomycetales; Actinomycetaceae.